This is a long non-coding RNA of Dreissena polymorpha, 7363 nucleotides long. RefSeq lists it as uncharacterized. NCBI's taxonomy places the organism in Eukaryota, Metazoa, Mollusca, Bivalvia, Myida, Dreissenidae. The transcript is spliced from 26 exons. The record is from RefSeq and is a predicted model, not a curated record.
GGUGUUCAGAGUGGAAUAGUGUGUACAUUUGCUGCUGACAGUCGGGACAACGAUGCUGAGGAUGUGGGGGACAAGCAUGACGCAGAAGGAGAGCACCAGCAUUGAUAUCGAGUUGGCCAAGCAACAGUACCAGUCCGGCCUGCAGGAGCCCCAAUACAAAACGAUCCUUUCCCUCCCCUGAUCUCUAGCCCCUCCCACUGGACUUCCGGCCUCAAAGGGUCAGCAUCGUUACACAAGUCUGUUCUGCAAUAAAUCCUCAGCACGUCAAGUUUUCACGCGCUGUUAUGAACAGCCGAAAUGUCUGUGUCGAGAUUUCCCCAAGCAUGCCCGAGUAGUUUUGUUUAGCUCUAGUGCCCGAGUGGGAUGAGUGUUACAGAAGUGAGACGUUAUAGCAGUACUUAUGGCAACGCUAACAGUUAACGCUAACAGUUAGUUCUCGCUGUGGACAUCACAAAGAAUCUCACGAAGGAUUAAACGUUGUAUAGUUUGUUUAAUUCUUUAUAAGACAGCUAUAUAUUCAGCGAGGAACGGGAGCAAAUCAAGGAACAAUCGAAACGAUUCAUUCAGAAGUAUAUCUGCUGUAGAUUGUUAGGACAGUAGAAGCGUUACGGACUGUCCUCAGCGCACAAUAUAUUCAUGCGGUGCGCCUCAGACGCAAAUUCCCCCCAUUAUUGAAAACAAGUUGCUAACAGUAAACACGUCCGGUUUUGCACUCCGAGCCCAAAGGGCAUCGCAUUGAAUUGAGACUAAAGAAGGCUUAAAAACAUGACACCAGUUUUGUUGUAUGGUCCAGUACGCCCUUCGACUCUCAACCCGAAGUUAAUCAGAACUCAAACUCGGCCCUUAACAAUAUCCGCGAGGCCAGCAUAUCAGCUCAGCUUCUGAGCUUCAGGAGAGCACCAGCAUUGGUAUCGAGUUGGCCCAGCAUCAGUACCAGUCCAGCAUGCAGGAGAUCCAGUCAAGGACGACCCUUCCCCUCCCCUGACCACUAACUCCUCACUUUUGACCUGCAGCCUCGAAGGAUCAGCAUCGUUGAACAAUUCUGUUCUGCAGGAAAUUCUCAGCACGUCAAGUUUUCACGGGCUGUUCUCAACAACCGCAAUGUCCUGGUCGAGUUUUCCACACUCAAGCCUGAGUAGUUUUGUUAAAUAUAAGCAGUAGAAAUGGUAAAACUAACAGCCAGUGUGCUUGCUCUGGGACAUCACAAAGAAUAUCACAGAAUACAAAGUUGAAUAACUUGUUCCAUUCAUUAUGGGACCAACAGAAAUUCAGCAAGAAACAGGGCAAAAAAUCAAGGAACAAUUGAAGCGAUUAAUUUAGAAGUGUAGGUUUUCCAAAGUAGAUACUUCUGCUGUUGAUAGUUUUGACAGUAAUAGCGUUAUGGACAUCUCGGUUUGUCCUCUCAGGCGUGUAAACUGUCCAAAGAGAACACGCUUCUGACGCUUUUGCUGACGAAGAAAGGCAGUAAUGACUUGGCUGUGAACACCCAGAGCACAAUACAUCCUUGGGGCAUGCCUCAGACGCAAAUUCCGCUCAAGAUUAUAAACAAGGCGCAAAAUGUGAAUAUGUCUAGCUUUGUUACGAGCACUUCCCACUCCGAGCCCAUAGGCCUCGUAUUGAAUCGAGGCUGAGAAGGCAUUGACAAAUGACAGCAGUUGUGUUGUGUGGUCCAGUAUGCCCAUCGACUCUCAACCCAACGUUAAUCAGAACUCAAACUCGGCCCUUAGCAAUAUCAGCUCAGCUCCUUGAGCCUCAGGACUUGAUGCAAUCCUUGAUUGGUACCCAGCUUAACAACAGGCUCUCUGGUCAGCUGGGCCCAGACGCCCAGAGACAUUUCCUGUGCAUCGGGGGUAGUUGGCUCUUGGCGCAAGACCUCGGGGCAAAUGCUCAACGAUUACUUCCCACAGGGUGCAGCCAGUCUAAACCUGGGGUUUCAAACUUUCCUGCCUAAGGGCCCAGAUUAUCUCAUCCACAAGGCACACAUUUCUGGGAGGCGCUAAGACCAUUUUAUCUGUUCACAGAGGCUUAUACUCACAAGUUCAGGCCCAGAGAGAAAUGUCCCCAACUACAACUUAGCCCCUACAUCUCAAUAGGAGAGCACCAGCAUUGAUAUUGUGUUGGCCCAACAACAGCACCAGUCCGGCAUGCAUGAGCCCCAGUCCAGGACAACCCUUCCCCUACCCUGAUCCAUAUCAUCUCCCCCAAGACCUCCAGCCUCAAAUUCUGAACACAUCCAGUUUUCUUGCACUGUUCUCAUCAACCGCAAUGUCCUCGUCAAGUUAUCCACUGUCGAGCCCGAGUAGUUUUGUUUAGCUUGAGUGUCCGAGUGGGAAGAGUGUUACAGACACAAGAAGUUAUAUCAGUAGUUAUGGUAAUGCUCAAUCAACAGUCAGUUCUUGCUGUUGGACAUCACUGUGAAUAUCACGACGAAUGAGAAGUUGAAUAACUUGUUCCAUUCGUUAUGGGACAAACACAAAUUCAGCGAGGAACGGGACAAAAAAAUCAAGGAACAAUUGAAGCGAUUAAUGCAGAAGUGUAGGCUUUCCAAAGUAGAUACUUCUGCUGUUGAUAGUUAGGACAGUAGUAGUGUUACGGACCGUCUUGGUUUGUCCUCUCAGGCGUCUAAACUGUCCAAAGGGAACAUAAAGCUUUUGACGCUGUUGCUGAUGAAGAAAGGCAGUAGUGACUUGGCUGUGAACACCAAGAGCACAAUACAUCAAUGGGGCAUGCCUCAGACGCAAAUUGCGCCCAAGAUUGUAAACAAGGUGCAACAUGUUAACAUGUCUAGCUUUGUUACGAGCACUUGGCACUUGUAUUGAAUCGAGAAUAGAGAUGGCUUUGAAAAAUGACAGCAGUUUUGUAAUGUCGUACAGUACGCACUUCGACUCUCAACAGAGUUAGUCAGAACUCAAACUGGGGCCUUAGUAAUAUCAGCAAGUUGUAGAGACGCUCAAAGUGAAACAAUUGUUCCAACAGAUAGAACAGGCUUUGAUUGACUCGUCCGUAAAUGUGACUGGCCUUAAUAUGUUGCUCUCGAAUAAUGUGAACCUCACCAGGAGAGCUGUCUGCGAUUGACGCCAUUCAACAACAGUUGUUGUCGGGAAUUCCCGGGUUUGGGUUGGUGACUUAGGUGUCGGGACUCGCUUCAUCUCUGCAUAUGGCACGGUCGCAGCAGCAGCAGCAGCAACAAGAACAGCAGUCGCUUCUGAGUCCGGACAAAGAUGCUGAGGAUGUGGUGGACAAGAAUGACCUGAAUACGUAGAAGUAGAGCACGAGCAUUGAUAUCGAGUUUGCCCAGGAACAGCACCAGUCUGCCUGAAGAAUCCCCAGUCCAGGACAAUCCUUCCCCCCCCCUGACCCCUAGCUCCUCCACCCUGACCUCUGGCCUCAAAGGGUCAUCAUAGUUGAACAAUUCCGUUCUGUAGGAAAUUCUGAGAAUAUAGAGUUUUCAAGCGCUGUACUCAACAACCGCAAUGUCUGUGUCGAGUUUUCAACACUCCAGACUGAAUAGUUUUGUUAAGCUUGAGUGCCAGAGAGGGACAGACACAAGGAGUUAUAGAAGUAGUUAUGGUAACACUAACAGUCAGUUCUUGCCGUAUGACAUCACAACGAAUAUCACGAAGAAUAAAAAGUUGAUUAAUUUGUUCCAUUCUUUAUGGAACAAACAUAAAUUCAAGGAAAUUGUUACAUUUAAAGCGAUUUAUUAACAUGUGUAAGCUUUCCAAGCAGGAUACUUUUUCUGUCUAUAGUUUGGACAGUAGUAGAGUUACAAAUGCGCUUUUGAUGCUGUUGCUGACAAAGAAAGGCAGUAACUACUUCAUUGUGAACACCCAGGGCAUGAUACACCCAUGGGGUGUGCCUCAAAUGUGAAUUCCGCCCAAUAUUGUAAACAAGGUGCUAAAAGUAAACACAUCCGGUUUUGUUACGAGCUCUUUGCAAUCCAAGCCCAAAGCACAUAGAAUCGACGCUAGAAAAGGCUUUGAAAAAUGACAGCAGUUUCGUUGUGUGAUCCAGUAAGGACUUCGACUCUGAACGACGUUAAUGAGACCUCAAACUUGACCAUAGCACUCACAGCGAGGCCAUCAUGUUAUCACAGCUUCUUGAGCUUCAGCAAACAUUAUUAGCCAACAAGAUGAAAACAUCAUUGAAGUGAAAGUCAAAAACAAUCCUGACUACCUUCGGGCACAAAUACUACAACUUGCUGAAGAAAUUCAGCACGAAUAUGUCUUGCGUCAGCCUAGCACGCCUCCUAUUAACUCUUCCAACAGCGGAGCCUUGGUGAGUUUGACUUCCGUCCAAGGUUCGAUGUUGCUUAGCAACAAUUAGAUGCUUGGUAUCAACAAAUUGUUCCGUACGAGUCGCUCGAACGUAUACGAUCUGAUCCAACAGAUAGAGCAGGCGUUGCGAGACUGGUCUGUUAAUGCGACUGACCUCGAUAUAUUGCUUUCCAAUAAUGUGAACCUUAUGCCUGAAGAGCAGUAUGCGAUUGACACCAUUCAACAACAGUAGUCGGGAAUUCCCGGGUUUGGGGUGGUGACUUUGUCGUCGGGAGUCUCUUUCUAUUGCCUGGUCGCAGAGGCAGCAGCAACACGAACAACAAGUAUUAUUUGAGCGAUGCUCUGUGCUAGUUCCUAGCAAUCAUAGAUCGGUACCCUGCUGAAAAACAGGAUCUCUGGUCAGCUGGGCCCAGAUGCCCAGCAAUACUUCCUAGCCCAGGACCUUGGGGCAAAUGCUCAACAUGUCCUAUCUGCAUGGUGAAGCCAGUCUAAACCUUGGGCUCCAAACUUUCCUGCUGUGGAGCUGAGAUUACCUCAUCCAUAAGAGGGCUUAUACUCACAAGUUCAGGCCCAGAGAACAGUGUUCCCCAACUGCAACACAACCAGUACGUCUCAAUAGAGGACACCCUUCCUGAAAACCUCGCUGAGUGCGACUGCGCCAUACGUGACCCUUAAGUGAAAUGAGAUUCCAGGCUGAAUGUCAAACCGGUACUACUCAGGUCUCCAGCAAUAGCCUCAGCCUUGGACGCAGGUUCAUGAUGCACCCGUGGCCUUACUUAUUUCUGAACAUCUCAAUCUCACAGCAAUUGAUGUGAAUUAAUGAUAAUAAGACUCCACAAACCACGUUUUGUAGAGGGUAUAUUGGAGUCUAUUUUCUGUUAGUUGUUUAGUCAAUGCGGCAUUUUUUGCAUAUAUUAUAAAAAGAUUUGUAUCAAAUCUAAAUUUCUCAAAGGAUUAAAUUGGAACUUAAAUUGUAUGAAACCAUUGAACAGUAAGUGAUAAGUGGUGAUUUUUUUUGCAUGCAAAGCCCCAUCGUUUCAUUGGCCAAGUCACUCUUUUACCCAGUGUUAUUUUACUUUCAGUAUCUCACCAUACAUGGGAAAUCAGAAGAUAUGAAACUUAUAUUCUAAUCAGGGUUUUAACUAACAUUUUGCCCACAUUUGCGCUGUAACCUAUAUGCAAUUCUGGGUUAUAACUAACAUUGUGUCCACAGUUGCGCAAAGUUGUUUGAAUAGUAGUGUCUAAAAACAAAUAAAGCAUAGUCACUUGCAUCCCUUGUAAUCAAUCAUGUUCAUGAAGGAGCCAUUGUGAAAUAUUAUGUUGCAUUUUGACAAAUUGCCAAGCAUAUGUCUUUUAGCUUAUCUUGUUAAGUGUUUUGCAGUACCAAGCCACGUUGACGCAGCAGCAAAAACAACAGUAGCAGUCUAGUUAAGGGUCACCCCGCAACGUUCAGUGCCUAGCGAUGAAAUCAUCCACCAUUACAUGUAGUUGGUUGAGGGUCGCCCGGUGCCUUGCGAUGAAAACCUCCAACGGGACUGUGACCUUGCCCUUGUACACACCUAAUGGUCAGGACAUUCGAGACUGCAAUGACGAAAUGAGUGUCCUCACUUCAGCAGUGGAGGCCAAUACACAACACGAGAGUUUCCAGCGGCUUACCUUAUCUGAAAACCUGGGUUGCAGAGCAAUGAGUAUGUCCCAGGAGCAUUUGCAGUCACCGUCUCCAGAUUAUGAGAUUCCCAUGCUCCACAACCCUCAGUCUAUGAACAUCAUGCAGAGCGAACCUUGGACGUACCUUGACGAAAUCAAACCAGCAAAUAGGAAGGACAGCCUGCUGCUACCGUUGUUAUCAUAUUAACCCCAUACCGAAAAAGCUCAGAGAUAUAAAGGCUGUUUAAGAUGUGCUUGUCUCUACAUACCCCGUGUCUGGUGUGAACAUGUACAAUUGAAGGUCUCUGCAUACUCCAUGUCUGGUGUGAACAUGUACAAUUGAAGGUCUCUACAUACUCCAUGUCUGGUGUGAACAUAUACAAUUGAAGGUCUCUACAUACCCCAUGUCUGGUGUGAACAUGUACAAUUGAAUGUCUCUACAUACCCCAUGUCUGGUGUGAACAUGUACAAUUGAAGGUCUCUACAUACUCCAUGUCUGGUGUGAACAUGUACAAUUGAAGGUCUCUACUUACCCCAUGUCUGGUGUGAACAUGUACAAUUGAAUGUCUCUACAUACUCCAUGUCUGGUGUGAACAUGUACAAUUGAAGGUCUCUACUUACCCCAUGUCUGGUGUGAACAUGUACAAUUGAAGGUCUCUACAUACGCCGUGUCUGGUGUGAACAUGUACAAUUGAAGGUCUCUACAUACUCCAUGUCGGGUGUGAACAUGUACAAUUGAAGGUCUCUACAUACUCCAUGUCUGGUGUAAACAUGUACAAUUGAAGGUCUCUACAUACUCCAUGUCUGGUGUGAACAUGUACAAUUGAAGGUCUCUACAUACCUCAUGUCUGGUGUGAACAUGUACAAUUGAAUGUCUCUACAUGCCCCAUGUCUGGUGUGAACAUGUACAAUUGAAGGUCUCUACAUACCCCAUGUCUGGUGUGAACAUGUACAAUUGAAGGUCUCUACAUACCUCAUGUCUGGUGUGAACAUGUACAAUUGAAUGUCUCUACAUACCCCAUGUCUGGUGUGAACAUGUACAAUUGAAGGUCUCUACAUACUCCAUGUCUGGUGUGAACAUGUACAAUUGAAGGUCUCUACAUACUCCAUGUCUGGUGUGAACAUGUACAAUUGAAGGUCUCUACAUACUCCAUGUCUGGUGUGAACAUGUACAAUUGAAGGUCUCUACAUACUCCAUGUCGGGUGUGAACAUGUACAAUUGAAGGUCUCUACAUACCCCAUGUCUGGUGUGAACAUGUACAAUUGAAGGUCUCUACAUACCCCAUGUCUGGUGUGAACAUGUACAAUUGAAGGUCUCUACAUACUCCAUGUCUGGUGUGAACAUAUACAAUUGAAGGUCUCUACAUACCCCAUGUCUGGUGUGAACAUGUACAAUUGAAGGUCUCUAUAUACUCCAUGUCUGGUGUGAACAUGUACAA